GAGCCAAUUUACGCUGAAUGAGCUUCGCUCGCUCAAAUCCGAGUUCAAAGAUGGACUUUCAAGACUGAAAGAAAGGAGCAGCAGCUUGGAUAAUGAGGCCUUUCUGUCGAUAUACUUGGAGAUUCAAAAGAGCGGCGUCAAAAUCAGCCCACAAACGAGCCCAUGAAAAG
Molecule: long non-coding RNA, 170 nt
Organism: Selaginella moellendorffii
Lineage: Eukaryota; Viridiplantae; Streptophyta; Lycopodiopsida; Selaginellales; Selaginellaceae
Exons: 3
Source: RefSeq, a predicted model, not a curated record